RNAcentral lists this ribosomal RNA (253 nucleotides) under uncultured bacterium. RNAcentral's name for it is "partial 16S ribosomal RNA". It matches the Rfam family "Bacterial small subunit ribosomal RNA", at positions 524 to 776 of the family's 1533-position model. The record is from RNAcentral.
UACGAACUGUGCGAACGUUAUUCGGAAUCACUGGGCUUACAGGGUGCGUAGGCGGCCUAGCAAGUCAGGUGUGAAAGCCCCCGGCUCAACCGGGGAACUGCGCUUGAAACUGCUGAGCUCGAGUCAGCUAGAGGUACACGGAACUUCCAGUGGAGCGGUGAAAUGUGUUGAUAUUGGAAGGAACACCGGAGGCGAAAGCGGUGUACUGGGGCUGGUCUGACGCUGAGGCACGAAAGCCAGGGGAGCGAACGGG